This 275-nucleotide ribosomal RNA is filed under the name uncultured bacterium. Its description in RNAcentral is "partial 16S ribosomal RNA". It matches the Rfam family "Bacterial small subunit ribosomal RNA", at positions 338 to 617 of the family's 1533-position model. The record is from RNAcentral.
CCUACGGGGGGCUGCAGUCGAGGAUCUUCGGCAAUGGGGGCAACCCCGACCGAGCGACGCCGCGUGUGCGACGAAGGCCUUCGGGUUGUAAAGCACUGUCGAGGGGGAGAAACGCCGGGCGACCGGCUUGAUCUAUCCCUGGAGGAAGCUCGGGCUAAGUUCGUGCCAGCAGCCGCGGUAAGACGAACCGAGCGAACGUUGUUCGGAAUCACUGGGCUUAAAGGGCGCGUAGGCGGGCUGCCAAGUCCGUGGUGAAAUCCCCCGGCUCAACCGGG